UCAAACUUGGUCAUUUAGAGGAAGUAAAAGUCGUAACAAGGUUUCCGUAGGUGAACCUGCGGAAGGAUCAUUAUUGAAUAAACUUGGUUGGGUUGUUGCUGGCUUCUUAGGAAGCAUGUGCACGUCUUUCCAUUUUUAAAACCCCCUGUGCACUUGUUGUAGACCUGAAUAGCUCGUCGAGGAAGAUUUUCUCGGUUCUGAGAAAGUGCUGUGUUUUAGAAGCCAGCUUUUCUUGUAUUUUCAGGUCUAUGCUUCAUAAAUACCCACUCCAUAAGAAUGUAUUAGAAUGUUGUUAAUGGGCCUUUUGUGCCUUUAGAAACAAAUAACAACUUUCAACAACGGAUCUCUUGGCUCUCGCAUCGAUGAAGAACGCAGC
RNAcentral lists this unclassified non-coding RNA (376 nucleotides) under uncultured fungus. Its description in RNAcentral is "partial contains small subunit ribosomal RNA, internal transcribed spacer 1, and 5.8S ribosomal RNA". The stretch from base 1 to 73 matches the Rfam family "Eukaryotic small subunit ribosomal RNA", at positions 1759 to 1831 of the family's 1831-position model. The record is from RNAcentral. Lineage: Eukaryota; Fungi.